This 195-nucleotide ribosomal RNA is filed under the name Entrophospora etunicata. RNAcentral describes it as "Claroideoglomus etunicatum ribosomal RNA". The record is from RNAcentral. Lineage: Eukaryota; Fungi; Glomeromycota; Glomeromycetes; Entrophosporales; Entrophosporaceae.
CAGUCGUGCUGGCGCGAAAUCUACCCGCCCGCUGAGCGAUCACCUGUCGUGGCGAGCCUCAAAACCGCCACGGCUCGUGACCACUUGAUGGUCUGGUGCACUUUUGUGUCGGCUGGUUAACGUCAAUUUCUCACGUCAUAAAAAGGCUGGAGGGAUGUGGCUCCUUCGGGAGUGUUAUAACCUUUGGCGGAAUGU